CUACCAGCAGCCAGAGAGGAAGGAGUUCUGUCUGAGCAGAGCUACGAGGAGAGGCCUGACUGCAGACUGAUUAAAUAUGGCAACCCUGACCUGACAGUGAGCCUGUUCAGUUAUUUGAGGACUGAUUUCAAGCAGCUGUGCAGGACUCCUUUUAAGUGUUAGACAAAUCUCCUCCAGUCUAACAUCAAAAACAUACUGACAGAAAUAAGACUGCAAUCUUCUCUCUAGCAAUACCACCCACUGAUCCAUGAAUAAGUGUUCCAGCUUCAAGGCACAUCACUGCUGUAAAGCUACCCCUUUGAGUUUCAAAGAACUGCUCCUCGUCUUGUGUCCUGAGAUCUAGAAACCUGCUGUAGUUAGUGGGCGAGUCAAAAACUGAAAUCUGAGUUUACAGCAUGCAGUAGAAAAUACCUUUUUUAAAAAGAAUAAUCCACCACGUUUUGUAAGAUAACAGCAAAGAACAGCAUUUUAGAGGAAACAGGAUUCAGCAAUUCACAUUCUCACAGCUUGCAGGGGGAACCAUCCACACCAUCAAACCACACCAAAAUGACAUCAGGGGGAAAACUGGACUGUUCCACUGCAGGCCCCUUAAAGAUGCUACCUGUAGAGGGCAAAGAAGCCAAAUUAAACCAGCCAGAAGAAAUAAGAACAAGAGAGGACAGAUGGAAAUUCCCAUAAAAUCUAUUCUGUGAGUAGAGGACCACUAUCUGCAAUAAUUGUCAGAUAUUCUUAGGAUUUGCUGGAAGACCAAGAGCCACUGUUUUUAGUCUCUUACAGUGGCUGAAGAGGUGUGUUGCCUACCCAAGAGGAUGUUUUAUCUGAGGAUUCAGCAUGCUGCUGACAAGGAGAAGUUUGCCUUUGGCAGAAGCCAAAACUAGAAGGCUUCUAACUGGAUUUUAUAUCCUAUGAUUACUUUUACUAAAGAGUGAUGGUAGGCAACCAGUUUUUCAUUUUGCUGUGAUUCUCUAUAUUGUAUUGCCUAAUUUACUUGAUUUACCAUACAGGGUGUAAUGUGUUGAUCCUUUCUGAAUUUUUUUUUCUUUUCUUUUUCCAUCUAUUUGACCUCUGCACUUUUAUUUCUAAAAAAAAGUAUUAACAUUCUAAACCAGUGCAUUCUUCAAAGUAAAUUAGAAAGAUCUGAUGGUACCUUUCCAAAGAACUGGCUGUUGAAACACAGUGCUCCAGGAGUCUCUCCCUCUCAUAUUUGAUGUUCCCCUCCCCCUCAGAAGAGUUUUAGGCAGAUGUGAUUUUUAACAAAAAAAGAUAAUGUUAAAGAAGUCUGCAUGGAUGUCAAUCAAACAAUGAUACUUAGCACAGUGCUAGCAUUUAUGUUAUGUAAAUGUAGGAGAAUCACCGUUUGAGACAAGCUUCUACAAAGCAGGUAGUGAUUUAAUGAAAAGCAAAAAGAUUGAAAGGGGUUUGCCAGAGUCUUAUGUGAUAUGAAUGUUAACAAGUCAGCUCACGUCACCAUCAUCGUCCCUGCUCUUCAUUCUAGUCUCUCUCCCUUUCUCAAGCCAGCUUGAAACCAGGGAAUUACAAACUAAGGAAAACCCUUCAGCUAAAUGUAUAAUUAGUCUAAACAGAAUCAAUGCAGCCCAAUUAAUCAGUUUUACUAACUGGAUUAACAUUUUAUGUCUGAAUUUCUGAUAAAAACAGGAGAAAUGCAGCAUGUGCUUAAAAUGCAGAUGCAUCUGGAAGCUCUUUCCAUUUAUACAGGCAAUAGAAUAGCAAACCUUUUCCAUAUACAAAAAUAUACUUUGAAAAUACAUUUAGUGUUUAUCAAUAUAUAUUUACAUAACUGAGCACUAAAAUGUCACUUUGCAUGGAUUAUUUUUGUGGAUAGGGCUAAAACUGCCAAUUUAGAUUCAGGUGACCUGAUUCUUCUCCUCCCCUCCCCCCCAAUCAAAUUCAUAAAUGAGGAAUAAUUACAUUGAUAAAGUUUUAUAAUGGGGUAAAACCAGCAUCAAAUGGGAGGGUAUGGCAGGAAUCUUUGCAAAACAGGCAGUUCUUGUUUACAGCCAUCCAAACCAACAAAUACCCUGAAAUUAACAGGAACUUAUUGCUAACCACUCAAGAAUGCAUGGCAGCAUAGCUUCUUGGGUCACCCCCAUCACCACAUCUUCUGACUCAGAUCUACAGAAUCCACUUAAUAUUUUUCCAGAAAGAUGAACACUUGCCAGGUUUGUCAGUCUGCUAGACCUAUUUGCUCAGGCCAAAGAAUGUCAUGCUUAUAUAGCAUAACUAGUAUGUUAUUCUGGAAGUAGUCCUAUUGAUUUUAAAUGAACUGCUUUGCAUGUGGCAAUAUUUGGGAUUGAAUAAUAUUUAAUUCUGAAGCACGGGAAAUUAAAAAAGUACAAUACCCUUUGCUUCUAAUAAAAGAAAUGCAUAAAUAAGAUUUUGCAUCAGUUCAUCUUUUAGCUAUAACAGUGUUUUACCCCUGUAUAAAUCCUUUGGCAUAUGGUACAUGGAGACGCUCUUGAUUUACUCAUGAAAGAGAGGAGUAUUCCCAAAAGUGGUUUUCUAUUUUAUUAUCAAUUGAAACUCAGCACUGGUGACCCCUCCUGAUCACCACCUGAACC
Molecule: long non-coding RNA, 2579 nt
Organism: Alligator mississippiensis (American alligator)
Lineage: Eukaryota; Metazoa; Chordata; Crocodylia; Alligatoridae
Exons: 6
Source: RefSeq, a predicted model, not a curated record